This 395-nucleotide ribosomal RNA is filed under the name Helicobacter mustelae. RNAcentral describes it as "bacterial SSU rRNA". It matches the Rfam family "Bacterial small subunit ribosomal RNA", at positions 68 to 497 of the family's 1533-position model. The record is from RNAcentral. Lineage: Bacteria; Pseudomonadati; Campylobacterota; Epsilonproteobacteria; Campylobacterales; Helicobacteraceae.
GAAGCUUCUAGCUUGCUAGAAGUGGAUUAGUGGCGCACGGGUGAGUAACGCAUAGGUUAUGUGCCCNAUAGUCUGGGAUAGCCACUGGAAACGGUGAUUAAUACUGGAUACUCCUACGGGGGAAAGUUUUUCGCUAUGGGAUCAGCCUAUGUCCUAUCAGCUUGUUGGUGAGGUAAUGGCUCACCAAGGCUAUGACGGGUAUCCGGCCUGAGAGGGUGAUCGGACACACUGGAACUGAGACACGGUCCAGACUCCUACGGGAGGCAGCAGUAGGGAAUAUUGCUCAAUGGGCGAAAGCCUGAAGCAGCAACGCCGCGUGGAGGAUGAAGGUUUUAGGAUUGUAAACUCCUUUUCUAAGAGAAGAUAAUGACGGUAUCUUAGGAAUAAGCACCGGC